CACGUAGGGGGCGAGCGUUAUCCGGAAUUACUGGGCGUAAAGAGUGCGUAGGUGGCUAAGCAAGCGCGGGGUUUAAUUUCACGGCCCAACCGUGAACCGCCCUGCGAACUGUCUAGCUUGAGUACAGGAGAGGAAGGCGGAAUUCCUAGUGUAGCGGUGAAAUGCGUAGAUAUUAGGAGGAACACCGGUGGCGAAGGCGGCCUUCUGGACUGAAACUGACACUGAGGCACGAAAGCGUGGGUAGCAAACAGG
RNAcentral lists this ribosomal RNA (252 nucleotides) under Aminicella lysinilytica. Its description in RNAcentral is "partial 16S ribosomal RNA". It matches the Rfam family "Bacterial small subunit ribosomal RNA", at positions 524 to 776 of the family's 1533-position model. Lineage: Bacteria; Bacillati; Bacillota; Clostridia; Peptostreptococcales; Anaerovoracaceae. The record is from RNAcentral.